RNAcentral lists this ribosomal RNA (842 nucleotides) under Pholiota communis. RNAcentral's name for it is "partial large subunit ribosomal RNA". It matches the Rfam family "Eukaryotic large subunit ribosomal RNA", at positions 72 to 899 of the family's 3401-position model. Lineage: Eukaryota; Fungi; Basidiomycota; Agaricomycetes; Agaricales; Strophariaceae. The record is from RNAcentral.
GGAUUCCCCUAGUAACUGCGAGUGAAGCGGGAAAAGCUCAAAUUUAAAAUCUGGCGGUCUUUGGCCGUCCGAGUUGUAAUCUAGAGAAGUGUUAUCCGCGCUGGACCGUGUACAAGUCUCCUGGAAUGGAGCGUCAUAGAGGGUGAGAAUCCCGUCUUUGACACGGACUGCCAGGGCUUUGUGAUGCGCUCUCAAAGAGUCGAGUUGUUUGGGAAUGCAGCUCAAAAUGGGUGGUAAAUUCCAUCUAAAGCUAAAUAUUGGCGAGAGACCGAUAGCGAACAAGUACCGUGAGGGAAAGAUGAAAAGAACUUUGGAAAGAGAGUUAAACAGUACGUGAAAUUGCUGAAAGGGAAACGCUUGAAGUCAGUCGCGUCGUCUGGGAAUCAACCUUGCUUUUGCUGGGCGUACUUUCCAGAUGACGGGCCAGCAUCAAUUUUGACCGUUGGAUAAAGGUUGGAGGAAUGUGGCAUCUUCGGAUGUGUUAUAGCCUCCAGCUGCAUACAACGGUUGGGAUUGAGGAACUCAGCACGCCGCAAGGCCGGGUACUUGUACCACGUUCGUGCUUAGGAUGCUGGCAUAAUGGCUUUAAUCGACCCGUCUUGAAACACGGACCAAGGAGUCUAACAUGCCUGCGAGUAUUUGGGUGGAAAACCCGAGUGCGUAAUGAAAGUGAAAGUUGAGAUCCCUGUCAUGGGGAGCAUCGACGCCCGGACCAGACCUUUUGUGACGGAUCUGCGGUAGAGCAUGUAUGUUGGGACCCGAAAGAUGGUGAACUAUGCCUGAAUAGGGUGAAGCCAGAUGAAACUCUGGUGGAGGCUCGUAGCGAUUCUGACGUGCAGAUC